RNAcentral lists this ribosomal RNA (256 nucleotides) under uncultured bacterium. RNAcentral describes it as "partial 16S ribosomal RNA". It matches the Rfam family "Bacterial small subunit ribosomal RNA", at positions 15 to 266 of the family's 1533-position model. The record is from RNAcentral.
GAUCCUGGCUCAGGAUGAACGCUAGCUACAGGCUUAACACAUGCAAGUCGAGGGGCAUCAGGGUGUAGCAAUACACCGCUGGCGACCGGCGCACGGGUGAGUAACACGUAUCCAACCUGCCCUUUACUCGGGGAUAGCCUUUCGAAAGAAAGAUUAAUACCCGAUGGCAUAACAUGACCUCCUGGUUUUGUUAUUAAAGAAUUUCGGUAGAGGAUGGGGAGUGCGUUCCAUUAGGCAGUUGGCGGGGUAACGGCCC